CUGGCCUCUUUGGGCGUUGGCUCCUUUGCUUUCAUAUGCUUUUUGUGCAUAGUCAUCAUGGCACCCACAGGACAAGCUCCUCAAAAGAGCUUGGCGUUUUUGGAGGAACAUAUUCUAUUGAUGUGUCCACCCCACUUCAGCUGUUUUUCUAACUCUGGUUUCCUGGCUCAUAAAGAAGAAACAAUUUGAGGGCGUGGCAUUCCUGAUGACUCUCAGCGGGAUGCCAACUGAUGUCAACUCCCAGGUACAGGGAAUGGGAACUGUGGGUGGAAGACGGCAGAGCCUCUGUCAGCUGUGUCCAAAAUGGCUGUGUGAACCGCAUUCUGACUCCUCGGCUCCCUACCACAUCCCCUGCCCCCGAUCACCAGUCUCUGCCAUUGGGCUUUACUUUCAUUGAUGACCUUGGCAUAUCCAAGAUUAAUGAAGACGAAUCCGCGUCCUUACUACUAAGCAAAGAGCCUCCAAGCAAAUGAUUGUGGACCAGAGAGCUAUCUUCAUAGCCAUAAAAAGUACUUUUCAAAUAAGAGAUGUCAAAUGAGCCAAUUGCGUGCUAGAUACAGGAGACCACUAGUGCUCCCUAAAGUGCUGGGCUUCCUUGCUGUGUUAUUUAUUGAUGAACAUUGGGGAACCAGAGAUGACAAGAAGAAAGGAAGAGCAGGAAGCCAAUAACAUGGCCAGUGCAUUGGAGCUGGCCAACUCCGAGCUAUCACUGAGACUUGGUAAUGAUAUGAAGGGAUGGGCAAUUCCAGGGCUGCACCCCGCACUGGGGGUCUGCUGGAUGGUGCUUUGAGGAUGACCCUAAUCCCAGAUCACACCAAAGUAUUCCAGUUUUGAUGGCAAGUUUUCUAGGUAUCCAAAGUGAUGGCUGCAAUCCACGAUGACAGAG
RNAcentral lists this long non-coding RNA (886 nucleotides) under Equus caballus (horse). RNAcentral's name for it is "lncRNA (ENSECAG00000059524.1)". The record is from RNAcentral. Lineage: Eukaryota; Metazoa; Chordata; Mammalia; Perissodactyla; Equidae.